RNAcentral lists this transfer RNA (82 nucleotides) under Victivallis vadensis. It matches the Rfam family "tRNA". From Rfam's summary of the family: Transfer RNA (tRNA) molecules are approximately 80 nucleotides in length. Their secondary structure includes four short double-helical elements and three loops (D, anti-codon, and T loops). The record is from Rfam by way of RNAcentral. Lineage: Bacteria; Pseudomonadati; Lentisphaerota; Lentisphaeria; Victivallales; Victivallaceae.
GCCCGGGUGGCGGAAUGGCAGACGCAGCAGACUUAAAAUCUGCAACUCAUAGAGUGUACGGGUUCAAGUCCCGUCCCGGGUA